Molecule: non-coding RNA, 115 nt
Organism: Acanthosepion pharaonis
Lineage: Eukaryota; Metazoa; Mollusca; Cephalopoda; Sepiida; Sepiidae
Source: the annotation of a GenBank genome assembly
CGACGAUCAAAUUACUCUGAAAGCACUGAUUCUCGUUCGAUCACUGAAGAUAAACAAUGUUGAACUUGGUUAGUACUCAGACGGGUCACCACUUGGGAAAACCCAGUAUUGUAAG